This 97-nucleotide small nucleolar RNA is filed under the name Microtus ochrogaster (prairie vole). Its description in RNAcentral is "Small nucleolar RNA SNORA71 (ENSMOCG00000003016.1)". The record is from RNAcentral. Lineage: Eukaryota; Metazoa; Chordata; Mammalia; Rodentia; Cricetidae.
CCCUGGUUUUUCUUAUAGCAGGGAGAAGAUACCAAAGCUUUUCCAGGUGUUGGGAAGUUCUGCUCCUGUCCUUGUCAAACUCUGGUGCUUCCAGAUA